Molecule: ribosomal RNA, 370 nt
Filed under: uncultured bacterium
Lineage: Bacteria
Description: bacterial SSU rRNA
Rfam family: Bacterial small subunit ribosomal RNA
Source: RNAcentral
GUAUGGUGCAAGCGUUAUCCGGAUUUACUGGGUGUAAAGGGAGCGUAGACGGAUAGGCAAGUCUGGAGUGAAAGCCCGGGGCUUAACCCCGGGACUGCUUUGGAAACUGUUUAUCUAGAGUGCUGGAGAGGUAAGUGGAAUUCCUAGUGUAGCGGUGAAAUGCGUAGAUAUUAGGAGGAACACCAGUGGCGAAGGCGGCUUACUGGACAGUAACUGACGUUGAGGCUCGAAAGCGUGGGGAGCAAACAGGAUUAGAUACCCUGGUAGUCCACGCCGUAAACGAUGACUGCUAGGUGUCGGGUGGCAAAGCCAUUCGGUGCCGCAGCAAACGCAAUAAGCAGUCCACCUGGGGAGUACGGCCGCGAGGCUA